Molecule: ribosomal RNA, 519 nt
Filed under: uncultured bacterium
Lineage: Bacteria
Description: bacterial SSU rRNA
Rfam family: Bacterial small subunit ribosomal RNA
Source: RNAcentral
UGGACGAAAGUCUGAUGGAGCAACGCCGCGUGAGUGAAGAAGGCCUUCGGGUCGUAAAGCUCUGUUGUUAGGGAAGAACAAGUAUCGGAGUAACUGCCGGUACCUUGACGGUACCUAACCAGAAAGCCACGGCUAACUACGUGCCAGCAGCCGCGGUAAUACGUAGGUGGCAAGCGUUGUCCGGAAUUAUUGGGCGUAAAGCGCGCGCAGGCGGUCCUUUAAGUCUGAUGUGAAAGCCCACGGCUCAACCGUGGAGGGUCAUUGGAAACUGGGGGACUUGAGUGCAGAAGAGGAAAGCGGAAUUCCACGUGUAGCGGUGAAAUGCGUAGAGAUGUGGAGGAACACCAGUGGCGAAGGCGGCUUUCUGGUCUGUAACUGACGCUGAGGCGCGAAAGCGUGGGGAGCAAACAGGAUUAGAUACCCUGGUAGUCCACGCCGUAAACGAUGAGUGCUAAGUGUUAGGGGGUUUCCGCCCCUUAGUGCUGCAGCUAACGCAUUAAGCACUCCGCCUGGGGAGUA